RNAcentral lists this unclassified non-coding RNA (343 nucleotides) under soil metagenome. RNAcentral's name for it is "partial contains 5.8S ribosomal RNA, internal transcribed spacer 2, and large subunit ribosomal RNA". The stretch from base 1 to 120 matches the Rfam family "5.8S ribosomal RNA", at positions 35 to 154 of the family's 154-position model. The record is from RNAcentral.
GAUGAAGAACGUAGCGAAAUGCGAUAAGUAAUGUGAAUUGCAGAAUUCAGUGAAUCAUCGAAUCUUUGAACGCACAUUGCGCCCGCCAGCAUUCUGGCGGGCAUGCCUGUUCGAGCGUCAUUUCAACCCUCGAGCCCCCCCGGGGGCCUCGGUGUUGGGGGACGGCACACCAGCCGCCCCCGAAAUGCAGUGGCGACCCCGCCGCAGCCUCCCCUGCGUAGUAGCACACACCUCGCACCGGAGCGCGGAGGCGGUCACGCCGUAAAACGCCCAACUUUCUUAGAGUUGACCUCGGAUCAGGUAGGAAUACCCUCUGAACUUAAGCAUAUCAAUAAGCGGAGGA